CCGAAUUCGUCGACAACAGAGUUUGAUCCUGGCUCAGGAUGAACGCUGGCGGCGUGCCUAAUACAUGCAAGUCGAGCGAACUUUUGGGAGCUUGCUCCCAAAAGUUAGCGGCGGACGGGUGAGUAACACGUGGGCAACCUGCCUAUAAGACUGGGAUAACUUCGGGAAACCGGAGCUAAUACCGGAUAACAUUUGAGACCACAUGGUCUCAAAUUGAAAGAUGGCUUUUAGCUAUCACUUAUAGAUGGGCCCGCGGCGCAUUAGCUAGUUGGUGAGGUAAUGGCUCACCAAGGCAACGAUGCGUAGCCGACCUGAGAGGGUGAUCGGCCACACUGGGACUGAGACACGGCCCAGACUCCUACGGGAGGCAGCAGUAGGGAAUCUUCCGCAAUGGACGAAAGUCUGACGGAGCAACGCCGCGUGAGCGAAGAAGGUCUUCGGAUCGUAAAGCUCUGUUGUUAGGGAAGAACAAGUAUCGUUCGAAUAGGGCGGUACCUUGACGGUACCUAACCAGAAAGCCACGGCUAACUACGUGCCAGCAGCCGCGGUAAUACGUAGGUGGCAAGCGUUAUCCGGAAUUAUUGGGCGUAAAGCGCGCGCAGGCGGUCCUUUAAGUCUGAUGUGAAAGCCCACGGCUCAACCGUGGAGGGUCAUUGGAAACUGGGGGACUUGAGUGCAGAAGAGGAGAGCGGAAUUCCACGUGUAGCGGUGAAAUGCGUAGAGAUGUGGAGGAACACCAGUGGCGAAGGCGGCUCUCUGGUCUGUAACU
RNAcentral lists this ribosomal RNA (769 nucleotides) under Bacillus sp. 'Mali 30'. Its description in RNAcentral is "partial 16S ribosomal RNA". It matches the Rfam family "Bacterial small subunit ribosomal RNA", at positions 1 to 741 of the family's 1533-position model. The record is from RNAcentral. Lineage: Bacteria; Bacillati; Bacillota; Bacilli; Caryophanales; Bacillaceae.